UGGGGAAUAUUGCACAAUGGGCGCAAGCCUGAUGCAGCCAUGCCGCGUGUGUGAAGAAGGCCUUCGGGUUGUAAAGCACUUUCAGCGGGGAGGAAGGCGAUAAGGUUAAUAACCUUGUCGAUUGACGUUACCCGCAGAAGAAGCACCGGCUAACUCCGUGCCAGCAGCCGCGGUAAUACGGAGGGUGCAAGCGUUAAUCGGAAUUACUGGGCGUAAAGCGCACGCAGGCGGUCUGUCAAGUCGGAUGUGAAAUCCCCGGGCUCAACCUGGGAACUGCAUUCGAAACUGGCUGGCUAGAGUCUUGUAGAGGGGGGUAGAAUUCCAGGUGUAGCGGUGAAAUGCGUAGAGAUCUGGAGGAAUACCGGUGGCGAAGGCGGCCCCCUGGACAAAGACUGACGCUCAGGUGCGAAAGCGUGGGGAGCAAACAGG
Molecule: ribosomal RNA, 429 nt
Filed under: Chloroflexota bacterium
Lineage: Bacteria; Bacillati; Chloroflexota
Description: Chloroflexi bacterium partial 16S ribosomal RNA
Rfam family: Bacterial small subunit ribosomal RNA
Source: RNAcentral